This 87-nucleotide transfer RNA is filed under the name Acidimicrobiia bacterium. Its description in RNAcentral is "tRNA-Leu". It matches the Rfam family "tRNA". Rfam says of the family: Transfer RNA (tRNA) molecules are approximately 80 nucleotides in length. Their secondary structure includes four short double-helical elements and three loops (D, anti-codon, and T loops). Further hydrogen bonds mediate the characteristic L-shaped molecular structure. tRNAs have two regions of fundamental functional importance: the anti-codon, which is responsible for specific mRNA codon recognition, and the 3' end, to which the tRNAs corresponding amino acid is attached (by aminoacyl-tRNA synthetases). tRNAs cope with the degeneracy of the genetic code in two manners: having more than one tRNA (with a specific anti-codon) for a particular amino acid; and 'wobble' base-pairing, i.e. permitting non-standard base-pairing at the 3rd anti-codon position. Lineage: Bacteria; Bacillati; Actinomycetota; Acidimicrobiia. The record is from RNAcentral.
GCCCGGGUGGCGUAACUGGCAGGCGCAGAGGGCUUAAACCCCUCGGCUCUUCGGAGCGUGAGAGUUCGAAUCUCUCCCCGGGCACCC